AUACGGAGGACGCGAGCGUUAUCCGGAUUCAUUGGGUUUAAAGGGUGCGCAGGCGGCCGUGCAAGUCAGCGGUGAAAGCCCGGGGCUCAACCCCGGAAGUGCCGUUGAUACUGCAUGGCUGGAAUGCGGUCGAGGCGGGCGGAACGUGGCGGGGAGCGGGGAAAUGCGUAGAUAUGCCACAGAACGCCGAUAGCGGAGGCAGCUCGCCAGGCCUGCAUUGACGCUCGGGCACGAAAGCGUGGGGAUCGAACAGGAUUAGAUACCCUGGUAGUCCACGCCGUAAACGAUGGGCGCUCGUCGUCGGCGGCAGACAGUCGGCGGCCAAGCGAAAGCGAUAAGCGCCCCACCUGGGGAGUACGGUCGCAAGGCUGAAACUCAAAGGAAUUGGCGGGG
RNAcentral lists this ribosomal RNA (393 nucleotides) under uncultured bacterium. RNAcentral describes it as "partial 16S ribosomal RNA". It matches the Rfam family "Bacterial small subunit ribosomal RNA", at positions 523 to 918 of the family's 1533-position model. The record is from RNAcentral.